GACGAACGCUGGCGGCACGCCUAACACAUGCAAGUCGAACGGACUUAAAAGAGCUUGCUUUUUUAAGUUAGUGGCGGACGGGUGAGUAACACGUGAGCAACCUGCCUCUGAGAGGGGGAUAGCUUCUGGAAACGGAUGGUAAUACCCCAUAAAAUAUAAAUAUCGCAUGAUAGAUAUAUCAAAGAAAUUCGCUCAGAGAUGGGCUCGCGUCUGAUUAGAUAGUUGGUGAGGUAACGGCUCACCAAGUCGACGAUCAGUAGCCGGACUGAGAGGUUGAACGGCCACAUUGGGACUGAGACACGGCCCAGACUCCUACGGGAGGCAGCAGUGGGGAAUAUUGCACAAUGGAGGGAACUCUGACGCAGCGAUGCCGCGUGGAGGAAGAAGGUUUUCGGAUUGUAAACUCCUUUUAUCAGGGACGAUAAUGACGGUACCUGAAGAAAAAGCUCCGGCUAACUACGUG
This 463-nucleotide ribosomal RNA is filed under the name uncultured bacterium. Its description in RNAcentral is "partial 16S ribosomal RNA". It matches the Rfam family "Bacterial small subunit ribosomal RNA", at positions 28 to 507 of the family's 1533-position model. The record is from RNAcentral.